Long non-coding RNA from Phyllostomus discolor (pale spear-nosed bat), 2298 nucleotides. RefSeq lists it as uncharacterized. The transcript is spliced from 3 exons. NCBI's taxonomy places the organism in Eukaryota, Metazoa, Chordata, Mammalia, Chiroptera, Phyllostomidae. The record is from RefSeq and is a predicted model, not a curated record.
UGGUGAAAAUGUUGUAAAGAUGCUGUGAAGAUUAUUGAAAUGACAACAGAAGGAUUUAGAAUAUUCCAUAAACUUAGUUAAUAAACAAUGGCAGAAUUUGAGAUCAGCUCCACGUUUGAAAAAUUAUGCAGUGGGUAAAAUGCUAUCAAACUCAAUUGCACGAUACAGAGAAGUAAUUCACAAAAGGAAGAGUCAAUUGAUACAGAAAAUUGUUGUCUUAUUUUAAGGAUUUAGAACAGCCACCCCAGUCUUCAGCAACCACCAUCCUGAUUAGUCAACAGCCAUCAACAUCGAGGCAAAACCCUCCAACAGCAAAAACAUUACAAAUUGCUAAAAGUUCAGGUAAUGGUUAGCAUUUUUUAGCAAUGACUUAUUUUUUAAAUUAAGGAAUAUUUAUUUAGGCAUAAUGCUAUUGCACACUUAAUAGACUAUGAUAUAGUGUAAACAAAACUUUUAUAUACAUCGAGAAAUCAAAAAUUUGUGACUUGCUUUAUUGCAAUAUUUGCUUUAUUGUGGUAUUCUGGAACCAAACCUGCAAUAUCUCCAAAGCAUUCCUGUAUAUGUUAAAAAAUGAUUGGAGUGAAUUGAGUGUCAUCACAGAAAACAAUUAAUAUCUAGUUCAGACUGGUUUUUAUGGUGAUGUUAAUUGAAAGAGGAGAGCAUAGAGCUUUAUUUACACUUGAGAAGAAUGAAAUCCAGUGGGAAGUUUGCAGAUAGAUUUGCAGAGGAACAGGGAUGGUGCGAGGGAAUCUGAAAGAUCAGGCUGGAGAGAUAUGCCAGGGUUUUGUCAGGUAGCUCAAAAUGUUUGAAUUAGAUUUUUAAUAAAUAUUGGUACAUUUUAGCAUCUCUAACAUUGUAUUUCUUAGAGAUCAAUAGAGCCAAAGCAUGGUUUGUGAAAAGGUAAGUGGUUCUGACAGAAGGAUAGAGAGAGUGCUAACAGACAGGAGAGGAGCUGCUUUUUAAUAUGGUAAUAGAGUUUAUUAGAUUAUCUAAAUCAAACCAAAGCAUAUUGUCUUAGAGAAUAAACCUGAUUAAUGAGGAAUGGCAAAUAAAAUGUAUAGGGACAUAGGAUAGAAUUUCUGAAGACUUUCAGUUUCUAUUGUCUUAAAGCAGUAGGUGUUGUGACAGCCCCUUAGUCUUUUGGAAGCUGUUUUUUCUUGGUAGAAGUCUAUUAGAAAAGACUUGAGGAAAUAGGCCAUGGUAAUUAUCUGCCAUACAGUAAAAGAAAAUUGAAAACUGUUGGCAUAAAGUAACAUUUAUAAAUUGAUGAAUUAGAGCAAUCUGAGGUAUGAUUUUAUGUGUAGGACAUAAAAAUGCCUAUUAUAGUGUAACAUUAGAUUAGUGAUUUCUGGAGUGUGGUUUCUGGACCAAAACCAUCAGUACCACCUAGGCACUUGUUAGAAAUGUAGUAAAGUUUUGGACUCAGCUCAGGCACACCGAAUCGGAAUAGGGCCUGCGCCAUCUGUGUUUUAACGAGCCCUUCAGGGGAUUCUGAUGCAUUGUAAAGUAUAAAAACAGACUUAGAAUAUUACUGUCCUGUCUUGUACCAGCAAGUAAAUAAAAUUCUAUAUAUGUUAUUCUGUUCAAGAGUUGUGUCCUUAUAGAGUGCUUUAGUCAGUUAAACUAUCCAUAUUAGAAUGUUUAAAGGGUAGAGUUGAUACGAGAUUAAAAUCAGAGCAUGUGGUGGUUAGAUGUCAUUAAAAUUUAAAAGGAUAGUUCUCUAUUCUGUGCUGACACUGGAGAAACCCAGGUUGUAAGAGUACAGUGUUUUAGAUAUAUUAAUUUAUCUUUCCUUUUUUUUUAUUUUUGGUACCAUUUGUUAACAUUUAGCCAAUGAAUCUGGGAGUGUUAAGUUUGACAGACUAAGAAUAGACUUAGGUAAUUGUUAGUAAUUGGUCUGGAAUGUCACUUGGAAUAGUAUCAAAAUGGGUCUCUGAUAGAGGUGAGAAAAGAAUUUGUGCCUGUCUUAGAUUUGAGCAGGAAUUGAAUCUGUUUUUCCAGUAGUUAUGUGGGUCAUAGUUUGAAAGUCAUUGUUGUAAUACAGGUAAAAUGUGUUUUUCUCAGACACAGUCUUAGGGUUUAGAUUUUUGUUAUACAUAAUGAGCAUUUAAACACAAAUGUUUAAAGGAGAGAGUUAAAUCUUAAACUUGGAAGCACUUAAAGUAUUACUUUAAUUUAUACAUUCAGUUAUAUAUUUUAAUUUUAUUUAGAACUCUCAUUUUAAGAGAAAACUAAAUGAGACUACAGAAAUUAGUUGAGAAAUUGGCCUAUGGUGUAAAAUGAUUUGAUGUAUAAUGU